This 690-nucleotide long non-coding RNA is filed under the name Triticum aestivum (bread wheat). Its description in RNAcentral is "long non-coding RNA (TAES_LNC003006)". Lineage: Eukaryota; Viridiplantae; Streptophyta; Magnoliopsida; Poales; Poaceae. The record is from RNAcentral.
UGGCUCAGUGCUGUCGAUUGCGUUGCAUGUGCUUCACGGUUCCUGCAAUGCUAAUUCUGUUUGUUGUCUCGUUGUUCUUCAGUCCCCACCUUGUUUUAGGUCAUGUGCUUCUCGUGUCUCCAUUCGUUAGAUACAAAGUUAGGUGAGAUGUCCAGGAAUAAUAUGUGGUUGGUAUACCGUGUCUUGUAUUUGGACGAGCUCAUGCUAAUAUGUGGUUGGUACACUACCUGGGCAAGGUCAUUUUGAUACUGAUACUUGUGGGCAGCAGAGGGUUCAAAGCCUGACCAUCUACUCAGGUGCUUAAUUACGCCCCACGCUUCUUCGUUCCUUGUUCAAAUAUGAUUGGAGUAUCUUUAUCUCCCGUCUCAUGGAUCCUGAUAAUAUCCCAGAAGUAAAUAUUGUUGCUUGCUUCAUCUCUACUACUUUCUGUAACUGCUUAGUGUUAAGCUCUUGACUAUGCAUGUGCGGGUAGUUCUGAACAUUUGCUACUAACUGACGCCAAGCACAUCCAAUUGUGGUUCACUGCAGAUUGCCAAUGCCAAUUUACCAAUGAUUUCAGGUCUGCGAAAGUUGGAUUUUGGAUAGGCUUUCAAGAGCGUGACCGAAGCAGAGACACACACAUGUUUGUACGCUUGAAUUCUGAUGCCACCACCUAAUACUGCAGAUCCGUAGAGGCCAUGAAUGGCCUAG